UACAGAGGUCCCGAGCGUUGUUCGGAUUCACUGGGCGUAAAGGGUGCGUAGGGGGCAUGGUAAGUUUGAUGUGAAAGCUCAGGGCUCAACCCUGAAAUGGCAUUGAAUACUACUGUGCUGGAGGUUUGGAGGGGGGACUGGAAUUCUUGGUGUAGCAGUGAAAUGCGUAGAUAUCAAGAGGAACACCAGUGGCGAAGGCGAGUCCCUGGACAACACCUGACACUGAGGCACGAAAGCUAGGGGAGCAAACAGG
Molecule: ribosomal RNA, 253 nt
Filed under: uncultured bacterium
Lineage: Bacteria
Description: partial 16S ribosomal RNA
Rfam family: Bacterial small subunit ribosomal RNA
Source: RNAcentral